This 73-nucleotide transfer RNA is filed under the name Dipodomys ordii (Ord's kangaroo rat). It matches the Rfam family "tRNA". From Rfam's summary of the family: Transfer RNA (tRNA) molecules are approximately 80 nucleotides in length. Lineage: Eukaryota; Metazoa; Chordata; Mammalia; Rodentia; Heteromyidae. The record is from Rfam by way of RNAcentral.
UGAAAUAUGGCUUAAGUGGUAAAGCAUCUGCCUACCAAGCACAAAGCUCUGAGUUUAAACCCCAGUUUUACUA